AAGUUAGUUGUGCAAUUCAGCUUAAUUUGAUAAUUAAAAUCUUACUUGUUUUGAUUUAUUUUAAUU
This 66-nucleotide transfer RNA is filed under the name Orthetrum triangulare. Its description in RNAcentral is "tRNA-Leu". The record is from RNAcentral. Lineage: Eukaryota; Metazoa; Arthropoda; Insecta; Odonata; Libellulidae.